GACGAACGCUGGCGGCGUGCCUAAUACACGCAAGUUGAGCGCUGAAGGUUGGUACUUGUACCGACUGGAUGAGCAGCGAACGGGUGAGUAACGCGUGGGGAAUCUGCCUUUGAGCGGGGGACAACAUUUGGAAACGAAUGCUAAUACCGCAUAAAAACUUUAAACACAAGUUUUAAGUUUGAAAGAUGCAAUUGCAUCACUCAAAGAUGAUCCCGCGUUGUAUUAGCUAGUUGGUGAGGUAAAGGCUCACCAAGGCGAUGAUACAUAGCCGACCUGAGAGGGUGAUCGGCCACAUUGGGACUGAGACACGGCCCAAACUCCUACGGGAGGCAGCAGUAGGGAAUCUUCGGCAAUGGACGAAAGUCUGACCGAGCAACGCCGCGUGAGUGAAGAAGGUUUUCGGAUCGUAAAACUCUGUUGGUAGAGAAGAACGUUGGUGAGAGUGGAAAGCUCAUCAAGUGACGGUAACUACCCAGAAAGGGACGGCUAACUACGUG
This 497-nucleotide ribosomal RNA is filed under the name uncultured bacterium. RNAcentral describes it as "partial 16S ribosomal RNA". It matches the Rfam family "Bacterial small subunit ribosomal RNA", at positions 28 to 507 of the family's 1533-position model. The record is from RNAcentral.